ACUCAAAGGAAUUGACGGGGGCCCGCACAAGCGGUGGAGCAUGUGGUUUAAUUCGAUGCAACGCGCAGAACCUUACCAGCUCUUGACAUGCUAGGUUUCGGAUCCGAGAGAUUGGAUCCCUCAGUUCGGCUGGGCCUAGUACAGGUGCUGCAUGGCUGUCGUCAGCUCGUGUCGUGAGAUGUUGGGUUAAGUCCCGCAACGAGCGCAACCCUCAUCUUCAGUUGCCAUCAGGUAAAGCUGGGCACUCUGAAGAAACUGCCGGUGACAAGCCGGAGGAAGGUGGGGAUGACGUCAAGUCCUCAUGGCCUUUAUGGGCUGGGCCACACACGUGCUACAAUGGCGGUGACAAUGGGAUGCGAAGGGGCGACCCCCAGCGAAUCUCCAAAAGCCGUCUCAGUUCGGAUUGCACUCUGCAACUCGAGUGCAUGAAGUCGGAAUCGCUAGUAAUCGUGGAUCAGCAUGCCACGGUGAAUACGUUCCCGGGCCUUGUACACACCGCCCGU
RNAcentral lists this ribosomal RNA (503 nucleotides) under uncultured bacterium. RNAcentral describes it as "partial 16S ribosomal RNA". It matches the Rfam family "Bacterial small subunit ribosomal RNA", at positions 899 to 1397 of the family's 1533-position model. The record is from RNAcentral.